Molecule: ribosomal RNA, 448 nt
Filed under: uncultured bacterium
Lineage: Bacteria
Description: bacterial SSU rRNA
Rfam family: Bacterial small subunit ribosomal RNA
Source: RNAcentral
UGGGGAAUAUUGGACAAUGGGCGCAAGCCUGAUCCAGCCAUGCCGCGUGAGUGAUGAAGGCUCUAGGGUUGUAAAGCUCUUUUCGCCGGGGAAGAUAAUGACGGUACCCGGAGAAGAAGCCUCGGCUAACUCCGUGCCAGCAGCCGCGGUAAGACGGAGGAGGCUAGCGUUGUUCGGAAUUACUGGGCGUAAAGCGCAUGAAGGUGGUGAAGUAAGCCGGAUGUGAAAUCCCAGGGCUUAACCCUGGAAGUGCAUCCGGGACUGCUUUGCUCGAGUCCGGAAGAGGAGGGCGGAAUUCCCAGUGUAGAGGUGAAAUUCGUAGAUAUUGGGAAGAACACCAGUGGCGAAGGCGGCUCUCUGGUCCGGUACUGACACUUUAGUGCGAAAGCGUGGGGAGCAAACAGGAUUAGAUACCCCUGUAGUCCCUGAGCGGGCUGGCAAGGCGCAU